AUUGAACGCUAGCGGGAUGCUUUACACAUGCAAGUCGAACGGAGGGGCGGACGGGUGAGUAAUAUAGCGGAAAGUGCCAAGUAGCGGGGGAUAACUACGCGAAAGAGUGGCUAAUACCGCAAACUAUUGGAGCGGCAGAUAUCGGAGUAGCUAGUUGGUGGGGUAAAGGCUCACCAAGGCAACGAUCCGUAGCGGGUUUGAGAGGACGACCAGCCACACUGGUACUGAGACACGGCCCAGACUCCUACGGGAGGCAGCAGUGUGGAAUUUUGGACAAUGGGGGAAACCCUGAUCCAGCCAUCCCGCGUGUAUGAUGAAGGCCUUCGGGUUGUAAAGUACUUUUGGCAGAGAAGCGGUAUCUGCAGAAUAAGCACCGGCUAACUACGUGCCAGCAGCCGCGGUAAUUC
RNAcentral lists this ribosomal RNA (407 nucleotides) under uncultured bacterium. RNAcentral's name for it is "partial 16S ribosomal RNA". It matches the Rfam family "Bacterial small subunit ribosomal RNA", at positions 30 to 526 of the family's 1533-position model. The record is from RNAcentral.